This 368-nucleotide ribosomal RNA is filed under the name uncultured organism. RNAcentral describes it as "bacterial SSU rRNA". It matches the Rfam family "Bacterial small subunit ribosomal RNA", at positions 526 to 896 of the family's 1533-position model. The record is from RNAcentral.
CGGAGGGUGCAAGCGUUGUCCGGAUUUACUGGGUUUAAAGGGUGCGUAGGCGGUCUUUUAAGUCAGUGGUGAAAUCCUGCAGCUCAACUGUAGAACAGCCAUUGAUACUGAAAGACUUGAGUACAGACGAGGUAGGCGGAAUUUAUGGUGUAGCGGUGAAAUGCAUAGAUACCAUAAAGAACCCCUAUUGCGAAGGCAGCUUACUAGGCUGUAACUGACGCUGAGGCACGAAAGCGUGGGGAUCAAACAGGAUUAGAUACCCUGGUAGUCCACGCCGUAAACGAUGAUUACUCGAUGUUCGCGAUAUACAGUGAGCGUCCAAGCGAAAGCGUUAAGUAAUCCACCUGGGAAGUACGAUCGCAAGAUUG